AGAUCCCGGUCGAUGCCGAGAGGUAAUGGACCAAUGGUGCAGCCUGGUGGACGUGGUCCUCCACCACUGGUCGGCAAGUCGCCCUCAUUGAACCCAAGGCUUCUGCCUCAGGGUAGUGGUGGCUUCGUGAGCGGUAGGCCUAGUGCCCUCUUGCAAGGUAGCGGUGCACCUCCUGCUCGCCCAUUGGGCUAUGGUUUUGGCACGGAGCCUGCUUCACAGGUUCCUGGACCAGUUAGACCUCCAGCAACUGUUUCUCCCUUUGCUGAAAAGGCACCCCAGGUUCCUGCAGCAAGGUCGAAUCCUGAUGAACUAAUGUGAGUGGUAGGCCUAGUGCCCUCUUGCAAGGUAGCGGUGCACCUCCUGCUCGCCCAUUGGGCUAUGGUUUUGGCAUGGAGCCUGCAUCACAGGUUCCUGGACCAGUUAGAUCUCCAACAACUGUUUCUCCAGUU
This 449-nucleotide long non-coding RNA is filed under the name Nicotiana benthamiana. RNAcentral's name for it is "long non-coding RNA (NBEN_LNC015068)". The record is from RNAcentral. Lineage: Eukaryota; Viridiplantae; Streptophyta; Magnoliopsida; Solanales; Solanaceae.